RNAcentral lists this ribosomal RNA (361 nucleotides) under Clostridioides difficile. RNAcentral's name for it is "bacterial SSU rRNA". It matches the Rfam family "Bacterial small subunit ribosomal RNA", at positions 1118 to 1480 of the family's 1533-position model. Lineage: Bacteria; Bacillati; Bacillota; Clostridia; Peptostreptococcales; Peptostreptococcaceae. The record is from RNAcentral.
CCAUCAUUAAGUUGGGCACUCUAGAGAGACUGCCAGGGAUAACCUGGAGGAAGGUGGGGAUGACGUCAAAUCAUCAUGCCCUUUAUGCUUAGGGCUACACACGUGCUACAAUGGGUAGUACAGAGGGUUGCCAAGCCGUAAGGUGGAGCUAAUCCCUUAAAGCUACUCUCAGUUCGGAUUGUAGGCUGAAACUCGCCUACAUGAAGCUGGAGUUACUAGUAAUCGCAGAUCAGAAUGCUGCGGUGAAUGCGUUCCCGGGUCUUGUACCCACCGCCCGUCACACCACGGGAGUUGGAGACGCCCGAAGCCGAUUAUCUAACCUUUUGGAAGAAGUCGUCGAAGGUGGAAUCAAUAACUGGGG